UGCCUGGGGAGUACGGUCGCAAGGCCGAAACUUAAAGGAAUUGGCGGGGGAGCACAGCAACGAGAGGAGCGUGCGGUUUAAUUGGAUUCAACGCCGGAAAACUCACCAGUGCCGACGGACAUAUGAAGAUCAGCGUGAUGAGCUUAUUGGAUUGUUCGAGAGGUAGUGCAUGGCCGUCGUCAGUUCGUACCGUAAGGCGUUGCUGUCAAGUCAGAUAACGAACGAGACCCCUAUCGUCUAUUUGCUAAACGGAUCUCCGGAUUCGUCGCACUAUAGCGAGACCGCUGGCGUGAAGUCAGAGGAAGGUGGGGGCAACGACAGGUCAGUAUGCUCCGAAUGCACUGGGCUACACGCGCGCUACAAAGGCCAGGACAAUGGGUCUGCCACGCCGAGAGGCGGCGCUAUCCCGAAACCUGGUCGUAGUUCGGAUCGAGGGCUGUAAUUCGCCCUCGCGAAGCUGGGUCUCGUAGUAAUCGCGUCUCACAAACGGCGCGGUGAAUACGCCC
Molecule: ribosomal RNA, 506 nt
Filed under: uncultured marine bacterium
Lineage: Bacteria
Description: bacterial SSU rRNA
Rfam family: Archaeal small subunit ribosomal RNA
Source: RNAcentral